This 65-nucleotide transfer RNA is filed under the name Ringiculopsis foveolata. RNAcentral's name for it is "tRNA-Val". The record is from RNAcentral. Lineage: Eukaryota; Metazoa; Mollusca; Gastropoda; Ringiculidae.
GAAAGCGAAGUUUAAAUUAAACGUUUCAGUUACAUUGAAAAAUUCUCAUAAUUUGAGCGUUUUCU